This 327-nucleotide ribosomal RNA is filed under the name Baetis alpinus. RNAcentral's name for it is "partial 12S ribosomal RNA". Lineage: Eukaryota; Metazoa; Arthropoda; Insecta; Ephemeroptera; Baetidae. The record is from RNAcentral.
ACUAGCAUGCCGUUAACCCCGCCCGAGUAGUAACAGUCUUCGCUCUAAACUCAAAGAAUUUGGCGGCGUCCCACCUUUUUAGAGGAACCUGCCCCGUAAUCGAUGGCCCACGUUGUUUACAGCCCUCCCUAAAAGCUUGUAUACCGCCGUUUAGGGUAUACUCUAAAGCUUACCCCAAAUUAAUUUAUUAAAUAAUUCAGGUCAAGGUGCAGCCUAUAGGAGGGUGGAGGUGGGUUACACUUUUCGAACACCUAGAUUGGGGAGUUACACCCCCUAAGAAACUGGAUUUAAAAGUAAAUUUUAAAAAUUUAUAAAAUUGGCCUAGCC